CCUACGGGGGGCUGCAGUGGGGAAUAUUGGACAAUGGGCGAAAGCCUGAUCCAGCCAUGCCGCGUGUGUGAAGAAGGCCUUCGGGUUGUAAAGCACUUUCAGUGGGGAAGAAAGCCUUGGGGCUAAUACCCUCGAGGAAGGACAUCACCCACAGAAGAAGCACCGGCUAACUCCGUGCCAGCAGCCGCGGUAAUACGGAGGGUGCGAGCGUUAAUCGGAAUUACUGGGCGUAAAGCGCGCGUAGGCGGUCUGAUAAGCCGGUUGUGAAAGCCCCGGGCUCAACCUGGGAACGGCAUCCGGAACUGUCAGGCUAGAGUGCAGGAGAGGAAGGUAGAAUUCCCGGUGUAGCGGUGAAAUGCGUAGAGAUCGGGAGGAAUACCAGUGGCGAAGGCGGCCUUCUGGACUGACACUGACGCUGAGGUGCGAAAGCGUGGGUAGCAAACAGGAUUAGAUACCCCAGUAGU
RNAcentral lists this ribosomal RNA (464 nucleotides) under Vreelandella stevensii. RNAcentral describes it as "partial 16S ribosomal RNA". It matches the Rfam family "Bacterial small subunit ribosomal RNA", at positions 338 to 794 of the family's 1533-position model. The record is from RNAcentral. Lineage: Bacteria; Pseudomonadati; Pseudomonadota; Gammaproteobacteria; Oceanospirillales; Halomonadaceae.